UAAGGAAUAUUGGUCAAUGGACGCAAGUCUGAACCAGCCAUGCCGCGUGGAGGAUUAAGGCCCUCUGGGUUGUAAACUCCUUUUAUCUGGGAAGAAAUGUACUUUUUCUUGAGUACUUGAUGGUACCAGAGGAAUAAGCACCGGCUAACUCCGUGCCAGCAGCCGCGGUAAUACGGAGGGUGCAAGCGUUAUCCGGAUUCACUGGGUUUAAAGGGUGCGUAGGUGGGCAGAUAAGUCAGUGGUGAAAUCUUCCGGCUUAACCGGGAAACUGCCGUUGAUACUAUUUGUCUUGAAUAUUGCGGAGGUAAGCGGAAUAUGUCAUGUAGCGGUGAAAUGCUUAGAUAUGACAUAGAACACCAAUUGCGAAGGCAGCUUACUACACAAUCAUUGACACUGAGGCACGAAAGCGUGGGUAGCGAACA
This 422-nucleotide ribosomal RNA is filed under the name uncultured bacterium. RNAcentral's name for it is "bacterial SSU rRNA". It matches the Rfam family "Bacterial small subunit ribosomal RNA", at positions 355 to 774 of the family's 1533-position model. The record is from RNAcentral.